Molecule: long non-coding RNA, 1272 nt
Organism: Nerophis ophidion (straightnose pipefish)
Lineage: Eukaryota; Metazoa; Chordata; Actinopteri; Syngnathiformes; Syngnathidae
Exons: 4
Source: RefSeq, a predicted model, not a curated record
UGUAGGGGGGAAGAAUUUUGGCGUGACAGCGCCAACGCAGACGGCCUAUUGUAGCGCUGCAUUGAUAGCAGUGAGCUAAUGAUAGCUUAUGCUGCUAGUUUUCAAGGGAGUGAAACACAAAGGAGGUGGAAUCCAAAGAUGCGUGGGCGAAGGCUUUGGGCGAGCCAUGUCAUUUGUGUGCACGGGGAAAGACGCAGCUGCUGGCAGAGUUCCUCCUCUGGCUGGUCGCAGGGACACGCCCCCGCUCACGCUGAGCGCAGCACACCCACGAAGCGACAAACCUGCACCCACUCGCCAAUCUGCCCACCUGGAAUAGAUGAGGGCGGGCUGGAUAAAGGUCCAGUGGACCCAAGGAUCAACGCGGGAACUUAGUUUUCUCUCUGUGUACCUCUUCCCCCUUCGAGAUCGUCUUUUGUUACCCCCUGUGUUUUUGGACUGCCUUCCCUGAUUCCCGACCCUCGCCUGAACACGGAUCUAGCCUCUUUUCUCCUGCCCUGGAUGUUCAUCUGCCUGCCUUUCGGACCGCCUUGUUGCUUCGCUCUCUACAACACUUGGUAACACUGGGGUUUGACACACUCCAUCUCCUUGGGUUAUCUUAUUAGUUUAGUAUUGUUUAUUAUUAUUAUUAUUAUUAUAUAGAUUAUUGAUCAUUACAGCCACUUGGUGUCAGUCUGCCGUCAUCUCCAUUCAGUAAACAUAACUAAUUUUUAAGGUGGUGCGACUUUUAUUUUAUUUUGUAGUAGUAGCGACUUCCUCCCAGUCAACUUCCUUUAUUUUUACUUUAUCGAAGUAGGCAUGCAUGUGAUGUUGAGGCCACAUUGGGGCCUGUGUGGGUUUACACUGCAGUCUGAUAAAAAUCUAAUUUUAAUUGCUGUGUAAACAGUCAGCUGGAAAAAAAUCGGAGGAUUAAAACAAACAGUGUAGUGGAGCCUAAGCAAUUAAUAAUUAUGACUUUUUUAUUCAAGGUUAAUAGUAAGAACUGGUUAAUCGUUACAUACCCAGCUGGGAAAUGACUCAUUAGUAUCAAGCUUACAAUUAUCAUACGACAAUGAUAGUACAUACCACAUUUGGCAUUGCCCAGGAUGAUCUGCUACAGUAAAACAUUACUACAGACUGCAUAUAGUAUAGUUUAUAGUGCAGAUUUACUUUUUAAAUAAACUAUCAUGAAUGUUUGAAAAAGCUGCCACUGAAAGACAUUUUUCAUUUUUGGAAUUAUUGAAACCACCAAUUGAUCACAAAAACCUUGAUUAAUGAAUGUAAUGUUUUGACCAU